This 798-nucleotide ribosomal RNA is filed under the name Triticum aestivum (bread wheat). RNAcentral's name for it is "partial small subunit ribosomal RNA". Lineage: Eukaryota; Viridiplantae; Streptophyta; Magnoliopsida; Poales; Poaceae. The record is from RNAcentral.
AUGCUAGGACAGCUUAAUCUGGAUUUUGAAGCAAUGCGUACCUGUAAAAAGGCCAGGGCGGAAGCUACAUCUGUUGUGAGUUCGGAUAGACUGAGCAGUCUACCUCCAGAGAUAAAGGGCGACAUCCUCUCCCGUUUGAAUGUUGAAGAAGCUGUUAGGACUAGCACCUUAUUAAGUACUUGGAGGGAUGCUUGGGGUAAUAUGCCAGAGAUAUCUCUGCGCGAAGAAAAUUUCACACGAACCAAGUUCGUUACGUUGGUUGAUAUGGUGCUAUUACUCCACAAGGGAACUAUAGAAGAGUUUGAUAUUUCAGGCAACAAAACUUACCAUGAUGAGUUCGGUAGGUGGAUGCUCAUGCUGUCAAGGAGAUCACCAAGAUCAGUUAUAAUCAAGUUGAACUCAGGGCCAAGGUAUAGGAUUCCCUCAUACCUCUUUUCUAUCGGCAGUCUGGAGUCUCUGGACCUACAAAACUGCAUCAUCAGCUUGCCCCGGGUAUUCCAAGGUUUCAAGAGCCUAACUGACCUCAACCUGGAAAAUUUCUCCUCUACAGACAUGGAUAUCCAAACAUUGAUCUCGUCCUGCCCUGUACUGACUGAUUUGAUAUUAACUUCUGUGGAGGGCAUCUGCUGUCUAAACAUUCAAGCUCCUAAACUGGAAUUUCUUAAUGUUGAAGGGGAGUUUGAAGACAUUAAGUUGGAUGCUCCUAAUCUGGAGGUGGCCAUUUUCUCUCUUGAUCACAAAGCUAAAGCAUAUCAAUCUGUUCCAAUUGCACAUGACAAGGGUUAUUGGGAAGCCUAA